UACAGAGGUCUCAAGCGUUGUUCGGAUUCAUUGGGCGUAAAGGGUGCGUAGGCGGCGCGGUAAGUCGGGUGUGAAAUCUCGGGGCUUAACUCCGAAACUGCAUUCGAUACUGCCGUGCUUGAGGACUGGAGAGGAGAUUGGAAUUCACGGUGUAGCAGUGAAAUGCGUAGAUAUCGUGAGGAAGACCAGUGGCGAAGGCGGAUCUCUGGACAGUUCCUGACGCUGAGGCGCGAAGGCCAGGGGAGCAAACGGG
This 253-nucleotide ribosomal RNA is filed under the name uncultured bacterium. Its description in RNAcentral is "partial 16S ribosomal RNA". It matches the Rfam family "Bacterial small subunit ribosomal RNA", at positions 524 to 776 of the family's 1533-position model. The record is from RNAcentral.